CGCGGGGUAGAGCAAUUGGUAGCUCGUCGGGCUCAUAACCCGGAGGUUGCAGGUUCAAGUCCUGUCCCCGCUAC
This 74-nucleotide transfer RNA is filed under the name bacterium BMS3Abin04. RNAcentral's name for it is "tRNA-Met". It matches the Rfam family "tRNA". Rfam says of the family: Transfer RNA (tRNA) molecules are approximately 80 nucleotides in length. RNAcentral also lists the same sequence under 1 other name. The record is from RNAcentral.